RNAcentral lists this transfer RNA (71 nucleotides) under Cophosaurus texanus texanus. Its description in RNAcentral is "tRNA-Tyr". It matches the Rfam family "tRNA". From Rfam's summary of the family: Transfer RNA (tRNA) molecules are approximately 80 nucleotides in length. Their secondary structure includes four short double-helical elements and three loops (D, anti-codon, and T loops). Lineage: Eukaryota; Metazoa; Chordata; Lepidosauria; Squamata; Phrynosomatidae. The record is from RNAcentral.
GGUAAAGUGGCCGAGUGUUCAGGCGGUAGGCUGUAGACUUACUCACGGGGGUUAAACUCCUCUUUUUAUCA